This 1783-nucleotide long non-coding RNA is filed under the name Rattus norvegicus (Norway rat). RNAcentral describes it as "long non-coding RNA NONRATT023176". The record is from RNAcentral. Lineage: Eukaryota; Metazoa; Chordata; Mammalia; Rodentia; Muridae.
CCUCUUAUCUCUUGCCAGGCUCUAUAGCAAUUCCUCCUUUGCCUUGCUUCCUCCAAGUCACAGCCCCUCCUCUCUUCCCUCAGAUUCUAGCCUGUGCCUUGGCAGCUUCCAUCCUCCGCAGGCAUCUCAUGGUCUGGAAGGUGUUUGCUCCCAAGUAAGUGGGUUCACUUGGGAGGAAACUAUGGACGUCCUAGGUUCACAGUGUUUUGCCUUUUUAGAGAAAGGCAUUAGACCUAUUGUUUGUGUCCUGAAAUACUCCACCUUCUCCACAGGUUUAUUUUUGAAGCCAUAGGUUUCAUCGUGAGCAGUGUGGGACUUCUCCUGGGCAUAGCGUUGGUGAUGCGAGUGGAUGGUGCUGUGAGUUCCUGGUUCAAAAAACUAGUUCUGGCACAGCAGAGGUAGCCCAGGCUGUGCAUGUUGGCACCUGGCCAUGGAGAGAGCUGGGGACUAAUCCAGCCUGACCUGUACUGGUGCUGGAUAUAUUCUACAGGCAACUGACACAGCUCUUAAACCACGCUGUAACCAGAGACUGCUCAACUCUGGGACUUUAUUAUUUUAUAACUGAGAAUCACCUGGAGCCUGAGCCCUAGCUCCUGAGUUGGAUGCAUCUGACGGAAAACAGGGGCAGUCACCAAAGUGGAAUAAAAGAACAAUGUGAAUGUUCGUAUGUAUCUAAGAUCUGUGGAAGUGUUCACCAAGUCAGUCUCUUCUCUCAAGAUGAGCAGAUGCCUCACCUUAGGCAGGGCUUGUUGUACCAGAGAACCCUUUGGCAAGAGGUUGUCUGGAUUCACUGACCUCUUCCCAAACUGUUCUAUUAUCCCGUUUGUCCCGGCCUCUGCCUUGUUGGUCUUUGGUCAUUCUGUGCUUUCACUGAUAGCAGGGAAGACAAACCCAGCAUCAUGAAGCACACAGACAUGUUUGAACACACACAGAACAUGUUCCUAACACACAGUUUGAAGCACUGUGGUUCCCCUGGUAUCCUUUCCAUUCACAACUGCAGAAGCCUCUCUCUAGGUUUUCAGCCCAUGCCACCUUCAUUGCAUCUUUUUGCCAAUUGACUAUUCCCAAGUUAAAGCCAAAAUGGAAUGGAACGAUUCUCCUUGUUUAAAAAAAAAAAAAAAAACCAGUGUCACUAUGGAAGCCCUAGCUGGCUUGGAACUCAGUAUGCAGACUAAGCCAGACUCGAACUCACAGAGAUCCACCUGCCUCUGCCUCCCAGUAUUGAGAAUGAAGGUGUGUGUCACCACGCCUGGCUAAUGAUUUUCUUGUAUGUCCAUCCUGUGACUUUCUCUAACUGACCACUCACAUGUCAAGUUUAAGGUGUGAGGAUGUCCUGAAAAUGUCCAUCAGCGGAGCUGGGAAGAGGGUGGGACUGUGCUUGAGGUUUGCGGUGUUCUAAUUAGGAGAUUGGACUUGUGGGUAGCAGAUGAACAAAUGUUAAAACUGGGACCCAUAGGUAUGGUAGCACACAUCUGGAUCCUAGUACUUGGGAGGUGUGUAGGCAAGAGGAUUUAGACCUCAAGGAUAUCCUUGGCUACAUAUUUAGUUGAAAGCCAGCCUGGGCUACAUGAGACCCUGUCUUAGAAAAAGAAAAGUUCAACAACUGAAGCUGGAGAGAUGGCUCGGUGGUUAAGAGCACUGACUGCUCUUCCAGAGGUCCUGAGUUCAAAUCCCAGCAACCACAUGGUGGCUCACAACGAUCUGUAAUGAGAUCUGAUGUCCUCUUCUGCUGUUUCUGAAGACAGCUACAGUGUAUUUAUAUAUAAUAAAUAAAUCUUUAAAA